GGCUGUAGCUCAUUGGUGGAGCACUUGCCUAGCGCGUAUGAGGCCCUGGGUUUGAUCCCUAGCAGUC
Molecule: transfer RNA, 67 nt
Filed under: Ictidomys tridecemlineatus (thirteen-lined ground squirrel)
Lineage: Eukaryota; Metazoa; Chordata; Mammalia; Rodentia; Sciuridae
Description: Spermophilus tridecemlineatus (thirteen-lined ground squirrel) tRNA
Rfam family: tRNA
About the family: Transfer RNA (tRNA) molecules are approximately 80 nucleotides in length. Their secondary structure includes four short double-helical elements and three loops (D, anti-codon, and T loops). Further hydrogen bonds mediate the characteristic L-shaped molecular structure. tRNAs have two regions of fundamental functional importance: the anti-codon, which is responsible for specific mRNA codon recognition, and the 3' end, to which the tRNAs corresponding amino acid is attached (by aminoacyl-tRNA synthetases). tRNAs cope with the degeneracy of the genetic code in two manners: having more than one tRNA (with a specific anti-codon) for a particular amino acid; and 'wobble' base-pairing, i.e. permitting non-standard base-pairing at the 3rd anti-codon position.
Source: Rfam by way of RNAcentral